Long non-coding RNA from Stegostoma tigrinum, 862 nucleotides. RefSeq lists it as uncharacterized. The record is from RefSeq and is a predicted model, not a curated record. The transcript has 5 exons. Lineage: Eukaryota; Metazoa; Chordata; Chondrichthyes; Orectolobiformes; Stegostomatidae.
CACCGACGCUGUUGCCGAGGCAACAAAGCGAGCCCCAACUUGCGGAGAGACCAAGGCCCUCAGGUCUUGUGGUGCAACGGGUAAAUGUGUCCCAGCUGCUGACCUGGAAGAUCCAGCUUCACCUCUUAGCACAUGACUGGAUGGCCAUGGAAGGUUGGCUCAACGUUCAAUUCUCAACUGUAACUCACAGUACCAGACCAAAAAUAAGAAAAAUAAAAGGAAUAUAGUGAUGGUCUCAACACAACUGCAUAGGAAUACCACCAUCUGCAAGUUCCCAAUCAAGUCACACAGUAUCCUGCUUUAGAACCUUAUUGCCAUUCCUUCACUGCUACUCAAUCAAAAUCCUGAAACUCCCUUUCUAACAACAUUGUGUGUAGCUACACCAAAUGAACUGCAGCAGUUGAAGAAGAUUACUCACCACUGCCUUCUCAAGGACAUUCAAGGAUGAACAAAAAAUGCUGAACUUGCCAACGCUUCUUCAUCUUGUUAUGACCAAGGCUGGAGGAGUGAAUCAUUGCUUUUGUCCUACUCCAAAGUUCACAAAACAAAAAUACUUCUUCCAGUUGCAAAGAUGAUGAAUUCAACAACCUUGUCUAUAAAAGGUUGCAGAUGUCUGCCCUAGAUUGACACUUCUGUUGAAGUUCUGCAGUGUGAAGCUUCUAUUCCUAAAAUGACAUGGGAAAUUAAACUUAAUUUGUCUAUUCAAGUGGAUUUCAAAGAUGAUAUUGCACGAAUAGAAGAAGAAUCGUGAUGUGGCAAUCGUGUAUUGCAAUUCAGUCUAACUCUGCAACCAGGUAGCUAUUUCAUAUCCAAUACUCUCAGCAUUUUGUUAUGAAUGCAGGGUGAUUACACCCUGUUCAGC